UACGGGGGGAGCAAGCGUUGUUCGGAUUUACUGGGCGUAAAGGGCGCGUAGGCGGCCACCGCAAGUCGACUGUGAAAUCUCCGGGCUUAACCCGGAAAGGUCAGCCGAUGCUGCGGGGCUAGAGUGCAGAAGGGGCAACUGGAAUUCUCGGUGUAGCGGUGAAAUGCGUAGAUAUCGAGAGGAACACCUGCGGCGAAGGCGGGUUGCUGGGCUGACACUGACGCUGAUGCGCGAAAGCUAGGGGAGCGAACAGG
Molecule: ribosomal RNA, 254 nt
Filed under: uncultured bacterium
Lineage: Bacteria
Description: partial 16S ribosomal RNA
Rfam family: Bacterial small subunit ribosomal RNA
Source: RNAcentral